ACGCAACUUUCCCAAAACUGGUGAAUAGCCCUCCGAAAGGAGGAUUAAUACACCGUAACAUAACGAGGUGGCAUCAUUUUGUUAUUAUAGGCUUCGGCCGGUUUUGGAUGGGCGUGCGCCUGAUUAGGUAGUUGGCGGGGUAACGGCCCACCAAGCCUGCGAUCAGUAACUGGUGUGAGAGCACGACCAGUCACACGGGCACUGAGACACGGGCCCGACUCCUACGGGAGGCAGCAGUAAGGAAUAUUGGUCAAUGGACGAAAGUCUGAACCAGCCAUGCCGCGUGAAGGAUGAAGGUCCUCUGGAUUGUAAACUUCUUUUAUAUGGGACGAAAAAAGGGAAUUCUUUCUCACUUGACGGUACCAUAGGAAUAAGCACCGGCUAACUCCGUGCCAGCAGCCGCGGUAAUACGGAGGGUGCAAGCGUUAUCCGGAUUCACUGGGUUUAAAGGGUGCGUAGGUGGGUAAGUAAGUCAGCGGUGAAAUCUCCGAGCUUAACUCGGAAACUGCCAUUGAUACUAUUUAUCUUGAAUAUUCUGGAGGUGAGCGGAAUAUGUCAUGUAGCGGUGAAAUGCUUAGAUAUGACAUAGAACACCAAUUGCGAAGGCAGCUCACUACAGAGUCAUUGACGCUGAGGCACGAAAGCGUGGGGAUCAAACAGGAUUAGAUACCCUGGUAGUCCACGCCCUAAACGAUGAUUA
This 700-nucleotide ribosomal RNA is filed under the name uncultured Bacteroidota bacterium. RNAcentral describes it as "bacterial SSU rRNA". It matches the Rfam family "Bacterial small subunit ribosomal RNA", at positions 119 to 815 of the family's 1533-position model. Lineage: Bacteria; Pseudomonadati; Bacteroidota. The record is from RNAcentral.